CCUACGGGUGGCAGCAGUCGAGAAUCAUUCACAAUGGGGGAAACCCUGAUGGUGCGACGCCGCGUGGGGGAAUGAAGGUCUUCGGAUUGUAAACCCCUGUCAUGUGGGAGCAAAUCAAAAAGAUAGUACCACAAGAGGAAGAGACGGCUCACUAUGUGCCAGCUGCCGCGGUAAUACAGAGGUCUCAAGCGGUGUUCGGAAUCACUGGGCGUAAAGCGUGCGUAGGCUGUUUCGUAAGUCGCGUGGGACAGGCGCGGGCUCAACCCGCGGACGGCACAUGAUACUGCGAGACUAGAGUGAUGGAGGGGGAAGCGGAAUUCUCGGUGUAGCAGUGAAAUGCGUAGAUAGCGAGAGGAACACUCGUGGCGAAGGCAGGUUCCUGGACAUUAACUGACGCUGAGGCACGAAGGCCAGGGGAGCGAAAGGGAUUAGAUACCCGAGUAGUC
Molecule: ribosomal RNA, 446 nt
Filed under: uncultured bacterium
Lineage: Bacteria
Description: partial 16S ribosomal RNA
Rfam family: Bacterial small subunit ribosomal RNA
Source: RNAcentral